Molecule: long non-coding RNA, 28567 nt
Filed under: Citrus maxima (pomelo)
Lineage: Eukaryota; Viridiplantae; Streptophyta; Magnoliopsida; Sapindales; Rutaceae
Description: long non-coding RNA (CMAX_LNC003457)
Source: RNAcentral
CCUUUCAAACAAUAGUAUUUUUGGAACUUUACCAUCUUGUUUUAGUCCAGCAUCUAUCGAACAAGUUCAUUUGUCGAAAAACAAGAUAGAAGGACGGUUGGAAAGUAUAAUCCAUGACAGCCCCAAUUUGGUGACAUUAGAUCUCAGUUAUAACCGCUUACACGGAAGUAUUCCAAAUCGGAUUGACAGACUACCUCUGUUAAGCUACCUUCUUUUAGCUAAUAAUUAUAUUGAAGGCAAAAUACCAGUUCAAUUAUGCCAGUUGAAGGAAGUGCGGUUGAUUGAUCUUUCUCAUAAUAAUCUAUCUGGUCAUAUUCCUCCUUGCUUGGUUAACACUUCACUCAGUGAAGGUCAUCAUGAGGCAAUAGCUCCAACUUCUAGUUCGCGGGAUCAAGCGUCUGCCUCUGUACUUCCAUCUGAGGCUCCAAAUGGAUCUCCGAUGGGAAAGGAAGAAACUGUACAGUUCACAACAAAGAAUAUGUCCUACUAUUAUCAAGGAAGAAUUUUGACGAGUAUGUCUGGGAUUGAUCUUUCUUGUAACAAACUGAUAGGUGAGAUUCCUCCUCAAAUUGGAUAUCUUACAAGGAUUCAUGCGCUAAAUCUAUCUCAUAACAAUUUGACGGGCACAAUCCCGACAACAUUUUCAAACCUGAAGCAAAUCGAAAGCUUGGACCUCUCCUACAACCUAUUGCAUGGGAAAAUCCCUUCUCAGCUCACUGUGCUAACUACAUUGGCGGCCUUCAGAGUAGCAUACAAUAACUUAUCAGGCAAAAUUCCGGAUAGAGUUGCACAAUUUUCAACUUUCGAGGAAGAUAGCUAUGAGGGGAAUCCUUUUCUUUGUGGAUGGCCACUGUCUAAAAGUUGCGAUGAUAAUGGAUUAACAACAGUGACAACAGAAGCUUACACUGAAAAUGAAGAAGUUGAUAGUUUAAUUGACAUGGACAGUUUCCUGAUCACUUUUACAGUAUCUUAUGGAAUUGUGAUAUUAGGAAUUAUUGGAGUUUUGUACGUAAACCCCUAUUGGCGGCGAAGUUGGUUUUACCUUGUUGAAGUAUGUAUGACCUCUUGCUACUAUUUUGCAGCAGACAAUCUUGUUCCUAGAAAAUUCUAUGGUGGAUGGAUGUAAUUUCAUUACAUUACAACUUAUAUGUAAUUUUCAAAGAAUUUUCUUUUGCAUGCAUGGAAUAGCAACUCAAUAAAAGUAUUUGAUGCAAAUUGUCCAAGAACAACUUAGUAAUUUCAUUGCUACUAUUCGGUUGUAUGUAUACAGUUAAUGAAAUUUUUAACCAUUCGCAGAAUACCCUUAGGAAUUUCUUUAGAUGGCGGCAAAAAACUAAGAGAUUCGGGGCUCUACACGGUCUGAAUGAAGAUUAACUUAAUGCCCUCAGGAUUAUGUGUAAGUUCUCUUUUAAAUUUAAGGGGUUGAGAUUUCAGGUCCGGAUGAAAGUUGAAUGCAGGUGACGAGACUUCACUGGGACAAACUUAAAAUAAAAAAUUAUAGUCCACAGUAAGAGCAAUGGGUAGCUUAACUUAUGGAAGAUAACUAGAACUUGGAAUAACUUAAAUUAGCUAUAAAAUUAAGACCAUUAUACAACUAAAAAGAAAGAAAAAUUGUUUGCUACUACAUAUCAAAACUAGUAAUAGCAAUGAAAGAUGGCAGACUUCUUACUUAAACAGAUGAGAGGCUACAAAUAAAAAAUUUGUGCAAAUAAAUAUAUGAUAAAGAGCAUAAUACUUUCUUGGGGGCUAAAAAUAAUAUACAACUUGUGAAAUAUAAAUUGAGCUACCGUUACCUUUUAGAUGUGGCAACUUUCGACUUUUGAGGCACUUUGGAAUAUGCAUUCAGAAUCCUGCAUUUGGAAGCCAAAUAAAUAAUGUUAAUAACAAUUUUACAAUAGAAAAAUUAAAAAUUGAUAAAUGGCAGUUGUAAUUUAUGUAUGUGUAAAGAUAGCAUCACAUCCAGGGUCCUCCCAUAAACAUGCUUGUAACAAGAAUUAGUUUGCCUCAACUGCUAGCAACUAUACAAUAGUAAAAAUCACUCUUAUGAACUCAACAAUACUAGGCACCAAUAAGAGUAUGAUACAGCCAUUCUAAAUGGAAGAGAAUACAACUGUUUUACAACUAUGUUGCAUCAGGAGAUAUGUUAGGAGUUUUAAUCCAGAUACCUUCCAACCCAAUUAGGAAAACUCGAGUCAGAAACCAGGAGCUGCAACCGAACCUUACAAUCUUGAAGGAAGAAGGAGACUUGGGGCAUUUUUCUAGAUAGGUGACUUACUAGAUCUACUGCCAAGAAAAUAUCUAUUGCUUUGAACCUCCAUUGAAAUUUCUUUUCCCUUUUUCUUAUUUUGACUUGGAACUUUCCAGCAUCAUCUAUUUGAUCUUUUUUAAAGCUAAAAUAGCAAUCUACGGGUUGUCAACAUCUUAUCCCCCCCCCCCCCCCCCGAGGGGCCCCCAAAAAAAAAAACAUCAAUGAGUUGUCAAUAAAUAGCGCCUACUCAACUUAUGUUCUCCAAUGGAUGACAAUGUGCAAAUCGACCUAGCAGCCACAUUUUUCCCCCCUUUCAACCACCAUUAGGCAACUUUUCUAACCUUUCUUCAUUGCCCACGUCUACAGAACUAUCAUAUAAAGACUACAAGAUAGACGCACGGUAUCUAAAUAAUUGUACCAACCCCCUCUCCUGAUUGUCAUAAAACGGCCAAUAUUUAACGCUCGACAACAAAAUUGCAAAUACUCUAGCCUCUAUAUUAUUGGCAUAUAAAUAUUUUCGGUUAGGUACAUUAUAUUCUUCGUUCUAAAACCUCAAUUAUUAGCUAGUACUGUGAUAAAAUGAUUCAUCACUGAAAUUAAAACUAGUUCACGUACAAAUAAUCAAAACUGAAAUAGAAGCAACGAUAAACCAACCUGUAUUACGUCGAUUCAUCACAACAAACUGAAAUCGAGGCUGUGUGUUCCUGAAAAUUGAAAAAAAUAAUAAUUUCACCAACUUCAUAUGUAAUACAAUCUCCAAAACACUGAAUAUCAAAUGAAAAAAUGGAAAGCAUAAGAUAGAAAAGAAUCUAAUUUUAUUGACCUUUUGACGACGACGAGAGAGCCUUCAACAUCCUUACGACUCCAUUGGCUGAGGUCGAUGUUGAACUCGUAGAAGGUGACAUGAGCGGCCGUGAUGAGGAUCUCCUCAAUGAAUGGAUCGAUUCGCUGAAGAACUGUCAGGUUCAGGAGUUUUGUGCUCUGCUGGUCCAGAUUAAGCAUCAAUUUUCCGUUAUGCGACAUUUUUCAUAGUCGUUUUGGGCUCUGCCCCGAGCACAAGCCCCAGGGUUUUUCUGUGAGCUCUCUCUUUUGUAAAUAAAGUGUUUGAUGAGAUAGCCGAGAGAGAGUGAAAGUGUUGAACAGCCAAACACGGUCUCGAGAUUGAUCUUCCUUUAACUUCUUUUAAACAUUUGGGAAAUAGCAUUUAUUUCUUUUAGUUUCUCUACUUUUUUUUUCCUUUAUGUCAUUUAGACCCCAAAAUUAGAUUUAUUAUAAUCCUAUUUUACCCAUACACUAUUAACCCCUUUUAUUUUUAAAAUUUGUCAAUAUUAAUGUGUUAGAAUAAUGUUAAAAAUCUCAAUUAUUAUCUCAAUGUUUCAAUCAUAACUAAUGUGAUGACUCAUUGGUAACUGCAACAUUAACUUAAUUAUUAAUGUAACACAAUAAAAGUUUGCCACUUCGGCAUUGGUCGGAGUGGUGGGAUGCUUGUGAGGGCAGCGGUUCAAGCCCCCACAAAAGCAUUUGUGGGGGCUAACGUUGUGGGGGCUAACGUGCUUAUUUGUUUAAUAUUUCAAAAAUUUCCUCUCCCUCGUGCAAUACGAGUGGAGUAUGGACAUCCCUCUUCUGUAAGGGAUUAUUUGUCUGGGCAUGUACUUCACAGAAUUCAAUGUAAUAAUAUAAGUCCCAAUCAUGUAUUUCUGAUUGUAAAUAUCAGUGUAAUAUAUCUGCUGUUGAUGCGAGAUUCUGGUUCUCCUCGUUCUACGACCAGGAUCUCUGCUCGAUCAACUUUACCACGACCAGGAGGUCUCCUAGUAAUGCUUCUUCUCCAGAUGUCCCUGCACACACAGACAAGUCAGAGUACGCCGGUUGUUCUCCCGGCGCAAACCCUCCGACGCUCAAGUCAGAUAUGAAGGUUCGGGGAACGCUUGCCACAGGUCUUAUGGCUUUUUCGUGGUUUUCUCUUUUAUCUUAAAAAUGCUAACCCUUUUACCUUCGUUGGCUACCUUUUUAUAGGCUUCUCCGAAUCCCCGUUUUCCGCUUUUUGCCAGACGGUAUGGGACUCUGACUGCUGCGUCAUGGGCGAAGGUGGGAUCUUGCGUGUUACGCCACGGUUCUGGGGAAAGCGUGGCUGUCGUGCCUAGAUUCUCGGGCUGGAGAGCAUGUCUUGCCAACUGCCGUCGACCGGGUCUCCUCGCUUCUCGACCUCUAGCCGGAAUGAUCUUAUGCCUCUUACAGGAAAUUGACCUCGCGGAUGACGUGCUCGUGGACGAGCAGGAUAUUUCUGCUCCUGUUCCCCCGCGCAUCAGGCUUUUACGGAACACACCGGCUCGAGGAACUCUGCCCCCAGAUAUCUGCUCACCAUGCCUGGUCUCGUCGACGUAUUUCUCCUAAACACCGGUCCCCCAGUUUCUGGUGUUGGGUAAUGUAGUGGACCAGCAGUAGAAACUCGAUAGUACUCGCUCACGUGGGACUGGAAAAGGCUGCCAAGAGUCGUGUCGCAUUUAAUUGCGGACGGGGUGACGUGGCGAAAAUCCCCCCCUCCAUUUGAAUUUCAAACCGACGGUUAUGAGGCCCUCGGGAUUCGGCGCUGUUAAAUGCUGGCAACCCAAGAGUCCGUCCCCAUUAGAAAAACCAAAUCCUCUCGAACGGCAUAUUCAUCAUCCACUACGUCUCCGUCUCUGUCUCUCCGGCAAAGAAGUUCCGGCAUAAAAGUCCUCCAUCUCUGAUUUUCACCGACUGAACCAUUACUUCAGGUAUUUCUUCUAUCUCCUUGGCCUCGGAUAGUUGUAGAUAAUUUCUCUUUUCUUCUGUUUGGGUAGUAGUUGGUGGUGUUGUGGUUAGAGCUUAGGGAAUGUCGAAAGGCAAAGAGAAGGUCAUUGAGGUUGACGACGACGAGUUGGACUUCCUGCCUAGUCUGCUCACCGACCCUGCUUUUGACCCCGGGAUUCCCUUAGAGCCCACUAGGUCUAGUGUCGGGACUAGUGCUAGGAGGAUGUCUCCCCAAACAACCUCUACGAGCGGAAGUAGUGGUGAGGAGAGAUCUUCUGACUCUGAGGAUACGUUGAGUGAGAAUGGCGAAGGUGAUUCUGGUGAGGUGUCUCCAUCUAGAACAUCACGACCAGGAGAACGGGGUACAGUAGGAGGCAGAGCCUUGUCGCGCGAUUAUGCCAUUGAUUACAUGACGUGCACGACCUCGUUUGACGAGCUCAAGGACCUCCGGCUUAGGUAUAGCAUUCCUGGUGAGAUACCUCUCAAGGUCCCAGGAAAGAAGGAUGCUCCCAGCCGGCCUCCUAGGGGAUACGUUACCCUGUUUUUAGAGAGCUUUAAGUACGGGCUGAGGUGUCCCUUGCAACCCUACUUUGCCCGGAUACUUAACGGGCUAAACCUAUCUCCUGGUCAGCUGAAUCCCAAUGGGUGGAGAGUGCUCUCUGGUCUGUUCAUAUUGUGGGACAGAUGUUGCCAGAGCGAGCCCACGGUUGAUGAGGUGAGACACCUGUACCAGCUAAAGAGCAGCCCCAAAGAUGCCGGCUGGUACUACUUCCAAUCUAGCACCAAGAGCAGGAAACCUAUAACCGACCUCCCCACUGGUGGUGGUGGGAAUUGGAAGAGAAAGUUCUUUUUUGCUGGGGGUCCUUGGGGUCAGGUUGCACAAAUGAACGGGAAGGAUUAUCGGGUCCCACCCCGUUUCACGGUCCCAGGUUGCCUGCUUGCUUUUAGAUGUCUUGUAUCCAUAAGUGUUCUUGCUUUAUUGGCUUGUCUCUAACCAAGUGUCUGUUUGUGUUGUAGUUUCUUGGGGUGUUCACUUCCCGCUCCCACCCGACCAGCUCAAACGGGUCGAGGAUGUGCUCGCCAAUUCCUGCUCGAGCCGGGAACUGUUAACUACGUACAACUUGCUCGAGUCUCGCUUGAUACUUCCUGGCCAUAGGAUGGAGGACGCUGUGAUUGGGGCUCUGACCCGAAAACGUUCUCGACCCCCAACCACGAAGAGGGACCAGAGUAAGGAUGCCCCUGUGGCAAAGCGGGCCAACAUCGUGCAGCAGGUCCCACCCUUGAAGAUUUUACCUCCUGCUCCCGUAAAAAUUGGGGAAGCUGGUGGAGCUGCCACAGAUCCUGCUUCCUCUCCUCCUCCUGUCGGGCCCCGAUCUCACUUACCUGACAGCCGAGCAGAACAUCUGGUCCUCUACUUCAAUGAGUUAACUAAACUCGUGAGCAGGAAGGAUCUGGAGGACUUUGACGGCCGCACCUUGGGUGAGUUGGUGGGGGCCAUGCAGCAUAGCGCUUUCCACCUCAGCUGCAUGACCACCUAUUACAAGGCUAAGGUUGGCCGCUAUGACCGGAAGAUGAAGGAGGAUAUUCAAUCGGCGACGACCAGAGCUGACGUUGCCGAGAAGAAAGCAGGGGAGCUGAAUCUCGAGAAUCUGAAGCUGAUGGAGCAAGAAUCACUUGCUCAAGCAAAAGCCAUCGCCCUCGAGGAGGAGCUUAUCAAGGUCAGGGAGGAUCUGCAAAGGCAGAAGACAAUGUAUGAGGCUCAGCUCGAAUCUCUUCGCGACUCCCACCGAGCUCAGGCCGAGAACUUGGAGAGGGAGGCCGACAACCAGUACGACCAGGGACUUCGGUAUUCCUAUCGUUGCAUCAUGGCCGUCCUCGGGAAGCAACACCCUGAUCUGAAGAUGGGUGACCUUGCGGCUGGUGUUGCUCAACAUAUGGACGAGGAGGCGGCCAAGGAGGAUGCCAAAGGGGUAGAGCCGAUCGUGAUAGAGGAGGAAAACUCUCCUCCUCAUGUAGUCCCUGCUGAUGUUGGCGAGGCGAGCACCCACCCCAAUGCCUCUAGUGAUACCCCUCCUGCACCUGAGGAGGUCCAGCCAACCGAUGCCGCUGGGCUCACUGAUCCACCAUCUUCUUGAUAUAUUUCUUGUAUUGUAAUGACAAUGUUUAUGAAGAUUAUUCCCUCUGUUAAUUAUUAACAAAUUAAUAAAAAUGUUUUUGAUCACCUUCUUGUGUCGUAAUUACGAAUUAAUUUUCGUUUGAGAAUCUGCUUGUCUUUGUCUAAACGAGCAGGUUCCGGCUUGGCUCAUGGUUUUGCCACAUGCCUUUGAAGAUUUUUCAAUGCUUGGGAUUCGGUUUGCCUUCGCGCAGUUGAGCAGAUCCUGGCACGCUUGGCUUCUGUCUCGCCAUAAGAUAGGCUUUGAGACUUGACGAGCCUUUGCAUGCCUUGGAUUCUUCAAAGCUCAGGAUUCUGCUGCCUUCUCGUGGCCGAGCAGAUCCUGGCAUGCUUGGCUUCUGUCUCGCCAUAAGACAGGCUUUGAGACUUGACGAGCCUUUGCAUGCCUUGGAUUCUUCAAGGGUUGGGAUUCUGCUGCCUUCUCGUGGCCGAGCAGAUCCUGGCAUGCUUGGCUUCGGUCUCGCCAUAAGACAGGCUUUGAGACUUGACGAGCCUUUGCAUGCCUUGGAUUCUUCAAGGGUUGGGAUUCUGCUGCCUUCUCGUGGCCGAGCAGAUCCUGGCACGCUUGGCUUCUGUCUCGCCAUAAGACAGGCUUUGAGACUUGAUGAGUCUUUGCAUGCCUUGGAUUCUUCAAGGGUUGGGAUUCUGCUGCCUUCUCGUGGCCGAGCAGAUCCUGGCAUGCUUGGCUUCUGUCUCGCCAUAAGACAUGCUUUGAGACUUGACGAGCCUUUGCAUGCCUUGGAUAAUUUCUUGGUUUCAAGCGUAAAAUUGCUUCAUUAAUGGCAGGAUUCGACUUACAUAAAAUUGUUUGGGACAUAAAGCGUAAAAGAUAAACGAUAAUGAGCAUGAGCAGAAAUAGCUCUCAAAUGUGAACAAAUCUUACUGGAAGUAUUUUCGGAGGUGUGCUGCGUUCCAUGGGCGUUUCACCUCGUGGCCGUCCGCGCGAACCAGCCUGUAAGCUCCGGGUCCCGCUAUCUGCUUGACUCUAUAUGGCCCUUCCCAAUUCGGUCCCAGCACUCCUUGAGUCGAAUCUUUGGUGCUCUGAUUCACUCUUCUCAGUACCCAGUCUCCGACCCUGAAUUGCCGUAUGUUCACCUUCUGGUUAUAAUACCGAGCAACCCUCUGUUGGUAAGUGACUGAUCGCUCGGCUGCUUGCUCCCUCCUUUCCGUCAGCAGAUCAAGAUUCAAACAUAUCUGCUCGUCGUUCUCCUGCUCAUUGAAAUGAUCUGUCCGGUGUGUGGUCGUUCCUAUCUCAGCCGGCACGACCGCUUCGUGUCCGAAAGCCAAAGCGAACGGUGUCUCCCCCGUUGCGGUUUUGUGGGUUGUUCUGUAUGCCCAUAGCACACCUGACAGCUCGUCAACCCACGCACCCUUUUUUGCACCAAGCCUGGUUUUCAAAAGCCUCUUGAUGGUCUUGUUGGCUGCUUCUACUUGUCCAUUCGAUUGAGGGUGAGCAGGCGAGCAAUACUUCAGCUCUAUCCCGAGGUUCUGGCAGAAAUCCCUGAAGCUGUGAUUAUCGAACUGCCUGCCAUUAUCCGUUACCAAGGCAUAAGGGAUCCCGUAUCGACAGACCAGGUUUCUCCACACGAAGUCUGUUGUUUUCUUCUCCGUGAUCCUGCUAAGGGCUUCCACCUCUAUCCACUUCGUGAAGUAAUCUAUAGCAACUAUUGCAUGUGUUGCUGCUCCUCGUCCUUUUGGCAAUGGGCCGAUCAGAUCAAUUCCCCAUUGAGCAAACGGCCAAGGGGAGGCCAUAGAGGUGAGCUUCUCUGGUGAUUGGUUGGAGAAAUUUACAAAACUCUGGCAGCUUGCACAACCCCUGGUCUUCUUUUGCGCAUCCUGGUGCAUUGUCGGCCAGAAAUAUCCCUGCCUUAGGACCUUGUGGGCCAGGGACCUCCCGCCAGAAUGAUUUCCGCAAAUUCCUUCAUGUACUUCUCUCAGCACGUAAUCCGCGUCGUCGUCAUCCAAACACCGAAGGAACGGUAAUGUGUAUCCUCGCCGAUACAGUACCCCAUCGAUCAUCGUGUAUCUCGAGGCCUGAGCUCUAAUCUUCCGAGCUCGCAGCUUAUCUGGUGGUAAUACCCCGUCUCUAAGGUAUGAAACUAUCGGGUCCCUCCACGAGCAUUUUUGUUCUAUCCGCAACACCCCCAAAUUCUGCUCGAUACUUGGGCUGGACUUCACUUCUAGAGGGACGGACUUUGGCAUUUUUGGGUCGGCUACUGCUGCCAUCCUAGCCAAAAUGUCUGCUCGACUAUUCUGCUCCCUGGGGAUUUGUAUCACCUCCACUGCUUCGAACUUCCCCAUCAUCUGCCUGACUAUCUUCAGGUACUGUUCCAUCUUCUCCUCUCUUGGUUGGAAUCUUUCACUGACAUGAUUCGCAACCAGCUGGGAAUCAGUUCUGAUCUUAACUCUGUCUGCUUUCACGGCCCUAGCCAAUUCCAGGCCUGCUAUCAAGGCUUCGUACUCUGCCUGGUUAUUUGUGACUGCAAAUUCCAACUUUACAGCAUAAGAGAUCUCCUCCCCCUCUGGGCCUUCCAGGACAAUCCCUGCUCCUGAACCCCGCUCCCCUGAUGACCCAUCUACAGACAUCUGCCAUACUUGAGUUUCGUCAUUGCCUAUAACUGCAUCUUGUUGACCUAAGCAUGUUUCGGGCUCUGUGAAUUCAGCUACGAAAUCGGCCAUUGCCUGGGCCUUUAUCGCUGCGCGGGGUUUAUAGUCUAUGUCGAACUCGCUCAGCUCUACAGCCCACUUGACGAGCCGCCCAGAGGCAUCUGGCUUGUGCAGAGUCUGACGCAAUGGCUGGUCUGUUAUUACCGAGAUCGGGAAGGCUUGAAAAUAUGGCCUCAACUUCCGAGCAGCAACCACAAGGGCAAGUGCCCAUUUCUCCAACGGUGGGUACCUGGUCUCAGCGUCGAGCAGGGCCUUGCUGGUGUAGUAUAUCGGAUACUGAACUCCUUCUUCCUCUCUCACCAGAACAGAACUGGCGGCCCGAUCCGAUACCGCCAAAUACAGAUACAACUUGUCCCCAUUCCUCGGUGUGGACAGCAGCGGAGCUUGCUGCAAGUAUUGCUUCAAGUUCCGGAAGGCUUCCUCGCAUUCUGGGGUCCAUUCUGUUUUCUUUCCCCUCCUUAUCACUUGAAAGAAUGGCUGACACUUAUCUGUAGCUUUGGAUAUGAAUCUGCUCAACGCCGCCAACCUCCCCGUGAGGCCCUGCGUCUCCUUCAGGUUACGAGGAGACGUCAUUUGCACAAUCGCCUGGAUUUUCUCGGGAUUUGCUUCAAUCCCCCUAUGGCUCACCAUGAAUCCCAGGAAUUUCCCUGACUCGACCCCAAAAGCACACUUCUCCGGAUUGAGCUUCAUCUUAUACUUCCUCAAAAGCUCGAAUGUCUCCUCGAGGUGUCUGACAUGUUCCUUCGGGAUCUUGGACUUGGUGAUCAUGUCAUCCACGUACACCUCCAUGGUUUUCCCGAUCAACGGCUUAAAGACUUUGUUCACCAGCCUUUGAUAGGUGGCCCCAGCAUUCUUGAGACCGAAUGGCAUCACCCUGUAACAGAACAAACCUUGGUUAGUGAUGAAAGCCGUGCUCUCCUCAUCCUGCUCGUACAUGGGGAUCUGGUUGUAUCCCGAGAAUGCGUCCAUGAAGCUAAGCAGACCAUGUCCAGCUGUUGAAUCUACUAGCUGAUCGAUCCUUGGUAAAGGGAAGCUGUCUUUUGGGCACGCCUUGUUGAGGUCUGUGAAAUCCACACACAUCCUCCACUUGCCGUUUGCCUUCUUUACCAACACCACAUUUGAUAUCCACUCUGGGUAACUGACUUCCCGAAUGAACCCUGCUCUCAGGAGCUUCUCCACCUCGUCAUUUACAGCCUCAUACCUCUCCUGGUUGAAGCACCUCCUCUUCUGCCUUACUGCCCGAGCACCUUUCUUUAUUGCCAGCUUAUGACACGCUACCUCAGGGUCAAUCCCUGGCAUGUCUUCAUGUGUCCAGGCAAACACAUCAGCAUGAGCCUGUAAGCAUUUCACCAACUCCUGCUUUUGCUCUCCCUUCAGUCUCGACCCGAUUCUGAUCGUCUUUCCCGGGUUCUCUGGUCCCAUGCUUACCGUUUCCAGAUCCUCUACAGGUUCUUGUCUGCCAGUCUUGUUUUCUACUCGGGUAUCGAAGGAUGUUAUCUGCAUUGCCUCCCUUGCUGCCGAGGAGUAGCAGCUUCUUGCGAUCCUCUGGUCUCCUCGUACCACUCCUACUACCCCAUUCACCCGGUACUUCAGAGCCAGAUAAUGGUUGGACAAUACCGCUUUGCUCAUCCUUAAAAACGGCCGACCUAGGAUCAUCUGGUAAGGACCUUCCUCAUCCACUACGACAAAGUCCAGUAUCAUUGUUCUUUCUGUUAGGGGGCUCCCAAUUGUGAUAGGUAGUUCGACCACGCCCAGGGGAACCAGCUUCCCUCCUCCGAACCCCUUCAAGGAGGUGUUGGUGUAUUCCAACUUCCGGUCGGCUAUUCCCAUCUCUUCCAGGGUUGACUUAAAUAACACAUCAACUGAGCUCCCUGUAUCAACCAGUAUCCGGUCAAACUUCUUGCUAGCGACCGUAGCCUUGAUGACUAAGGCAUCCUCGUGGGGGUAUAGGAUCCCUUCCUCAUCCUCAUCCGUCCACAUGAUUGGCACUUGCCUGACCCUUGCCCGUUUGGCUGCUGGGGUGUUGAGGAGUACCUCUUUACUGGUCAUGGCGUACCUAGCAUAAUUUUUUCUCGAUCUGUUUGAAUCUCCGGCCAACGUUGGGCCCCCCGCUAUCACCCUUACUGCGGGCUGCUCGUGCCUCAAGAUUCUAUCACUCUGCUCCCCUUCAUCUGUUGUGGCCACCAUCGGGAAAGUCCCAUCCAUAAACUCGUCCAGGUACCGAUUUCUCACCAAAUCUUCGACUUGGGUCUUGAGAUCUCUACACUCUGCUGUGGUAUGGCCAUGGGUGCCAUGGAACUUACAAUAACGUCCUCUAUCCCUCCUGUUGGGUAGCUUUGUUAUUGAUGUAGGGAGGUGCAGCAGCCCUCGAUCCUUUAUAGCCUCGUACACCUCAUCCAGGGACAUCUUCAAGGGAGUGUACCGCCCAUAGUCCUGGUGCUGGUCGAUCCGAUGUACUGCUCUUUCUCUGUUUGUCCCGCUCUGAGUUGGGGGCGGUAGAAGUACUUCUGGUCUGCUCGUCCUGCUACCGUGGGAAUGUUGAUGAAGACCACCAGAUGCCGGAUCAUUUCUUGUCCAAGGUUCCCUAGCUGGGGAACGAGGAGGUUGCGCCCUGCUGCGCUGAUACUGUGGUGGCCUCUGAUGAGGCUGGUAAGCAGUGACCCUGCCUCCUGCUCCACUACCGGAGGCCUGGUGGUCCCUCCUCCUGAUCGGCCCGUUCCCUGGUAAUGCUUUCAUCUCUCUCCUCCCCAACCCUUCUAUCUGGUCUGUCUUGAUCCGUGCAGCCUUCUCCUCUUCAAUCUCGAUGUCUCUUUUAGCCUGUUCGUAUGCGGCCGCAUACGUUUGAAUAGCUGGGCUUCUCAAAUUGUACCACAGCCUUCCUAUCUUCACCCCUUCUUUCAAUCCCCUUAACGCCUGAGGGUGGUUGAAGGCUCCCAAGUCGAGGACAGCCCGAUGAAACCUCUUGAUGAAUUCCGGAAGGGUUUCUUGCUCCCCCUGUUUCAUGCUUUUUAGCUCCAUCAUGUCAUCUUCCGGUGACAUUGCCCUACUGAACUGCUCCGCGAAUUCCUGGCACAUCUGCUCGAAGGUUUUAAUGCUGCCCCGAGGAAGUUUCAUGUACCAUUCUCGUGCACGUCCCUCAAGGGAUAGUGGGAACACCCUGCACCUUUGGGAUUGAGAUAAUCCUUGUACCCCAGUUAUGUCGUUGAAGCGCUCUAUGUGCAUCAGCGGGUCAGUUCUUCCCGUGUAUCUGAAGUCGGGGAGGCGGAAAUCUCUCGGAAUAACUGCCCUCAUGAUCUCUGCUGCGAGCGGUGAUUCUCCGUCCAGCAUUAUCCUCCAACCAGGGGCUCUGUUCCUCCCUUGCAUAUCGUCAAUUAUCUGCGCUAGUCUGCGCACUUCCUCCUCCAGCUGCCCUGCACGACCAGGGUCACGUGCUGCAACUUGAUCCCGCUCUUGCUCUACAUCUUGCAAGUGUUGCCUCAACUCGGUUUCCUCUGCAUUCACCACCCCGUCGUCCGCGUCACAAGUCUGUCUUGCCGGGGACCGCUCUCUUUCUCUAUGAAAUUCUCCCCGUAGAGGUGCGUUACCUCUCUCACCACCAAAUCUCCCUGUGGUUUGACUUCUCCCCGCACUAUCGGGACCUGGUGCCACUCCACCGCCUCUCACCCUUCCCUCUUGAGUUACCCUUCGCUCGCUCCGUAGCUCAUGCAGGAUGGUUGUCAAGGUCUCCAUCUGCUUUUCCAUCCGUUCCAUCCGGUCGAACAUGACUUUUCCCGUGCUUCACUGACUAUCUCCCUCAGCGUCACGAAAUCGUUAAGCCUCAUAUCACCCCCUUGUGCACUACUUCCUCCUGUCUCCAUUGCUUUUUGCUUACUCCACCCCUCUUCUUGCUAUCAACAGAAGCUUUUUGCUCUGGGUCCCCACAGACGGCGCCAAAAUGUUGAUGCGAGAUUCCGGUUCUCCUCGUUCUACGACCAGGAUCUCUGCUCGAUCAACUUUACCACGACCAGGAGGUCUCCUAGUAAUGCUUCUUCUCCAGAUGUCCCUGCACACACAGACAAGUCAGAGUACGCCGGUUGUUCUCCCGGCGUAAACCCUCCGACGCUCAAGUCAGAUAUGAAGGUUCGGGGAACGCUUGCCACAGGUCUUAUGGCUUUUUCGUGGUUUUCUCUUUUAUCUUAAAAAUGCUAACCCUUUUACCUUCGUUGGCUACCUUUUUAUAGGCUUCUCCGAAUCCCCGUUUUCCGCUUUUUGCCAGACGGUAUGGGACUCUGACUGCUGCGUCAUGGGCGAAGGUGGGAUCUUGCGUGUUACGCCACGGUUCUGGGGAAAGCGUGGCUGUCGUGCCUAGAUUCUCGGGCUGGAGAGCAUGUCUUGCCAACUGCCGUCGACCGGGUCUCCUCGCUUCUCGACCUCUAGCCGGAAUGAUCUUAUGCCUCUUACAGGAAAUUGACCUCGCGGAUGACGUGCUCGUGGACGAGCAUGAUAUUUCUGCUCCUGUUCCCCCGCGCAUCAGGCUUUUACGGAACACACCGGCUCGAGGAACUCUGCCCCCAGAUAUCUGCUCACCAUGCCUGGUCUCGUCGACGUAUUUCUCCUAAACAUCUGCUAUAAUAGCAGUUGUAAAUAUAUGUGUAAUGCAGUAAUAUGAUGAUUAAUCAGUAUUCAAAACACAAUAAAAGUUUCGUACAGAUUUUGAUAUUGAGAGUAACACAAUAAAAGUUUCAUACAGAUUUUGCAAACGAAAAGCACAUAAUACACUUAACUAGGAGGAAAAAUUAAGGUGUAUUUAUUACAAAUUGCUAACAAUAUACAAUUGUAAAAAUCACUCUUAUGAACUCACAAAUACUAGGCAGCAAUAAGAGUAUGAUACAACCAUUCUAAAUGAAAGAGAAUACAACUGUUUUACAACUAUGUCACAUCAAGAGAUAUGUUAGCAGGAUUAAUCCAGAUACCUUCGAACCCAAUUAACGAACUCGAGUCAGAAACCAGGGGCCCCUAACUAAACCUUACAAUCUUGAAGGAAGAAGGAGACUCGUGGUCCAGAUAGGUGACUUACUAGAUCUCCUGCAAAAGAGAAUAUCUAUUGCUUUGAACCUCCAUUGAAAUUUUUUUUUCCCUUUUUCUUGUUUUGACUUGGAACUUUCCAACAUCAUCUAUUUGAUCUUUUUUUAAGGUAAAAUAGCAAUCUAUAGGUUGCCAACAUGUUAUUCUGCCAAACCCCACCCCACCCCCCCGGGGGACAACAAAUCGACCUAGCACACACCUUUCUUCAUUGCCCACACCUACAGAACUAUAAUAAAAAGACUACGUUACUAUUGGGGUAGAGAAAAUAUACAGACUGUAUUAUUAUUACAUCGCAUUUUACUAAUUAACUAGUGCAAGACUUCUUUAGUGUCAAAUCAAGAACUAAUUAGAAAAGACAACUCAUGAUAAUACAGACCUUAAUAAGCAAUUGCUAACAACAUCCCAUAUACUCCUAUUUUAGCCUUCAUUAUCCUGGUAAAAACACAAAUAAGUCUUGCAAACGAACAUUUAUAAGUAAAUUCAACAUUAAUUAAGAUUAGGUAUCUACUGCACCUAAUAGCAUGGUCAACCAUCUAGUUCCUGUAGCCUUCCAUGUACCUAUGUUAGUUACAUUUUACAUAUUAAGCCACGAAAACGAAGAAUCACAGCCUGGUAAAGAAAGACAUUAAUUAAUAGUUUUUGUUUAAAAAGUUCUCCUUUAGAUCUUUCCUAUUCAAUGAAUCAAUGUAAUCUAAAGAGAACUCUUCCAUUUCAAACAGUGUUAGAAGGUAUUUGCAAAGCCUAAAGAUAAUAUACAAGGACCAAGAUAUACACAGAUGGUUUCUUUAUGGAAUUAAAGAGCUUUAUAGAUGUUAAAACUGUUUCAAACAAUUUUUCUUGUUUGGUUUAACUAAGGAAAAGCUUGUGGAAGAUUAAAAAUGAUGUUUCCUAUUCUCUGUAGGAAACUUUUAGGAGAUUUUUUGGGCUUUUUUGAAAGGUUGAAUUGUCAAAAAUACCUUGAUGUUAUUGUUUGCUAAAAGAUGUUACGGACAUCUAAACAACCAACAACAUUUUGUUAAAAGCUCUACUAGUGUAGGAUCUACUUAAAGAAGCUAUACCAAACAGACUCUUAGACUGAAUAACUCGAUCUUAAGUUUGUAAAAUUGGGCUCAGAAUCUCCACUAACAACCCCGCUUCGGUGAGAAAGCCCAAGCCUGUUACUUUGUAUAACCUUAUUCUGUAUGUUUGAUUGCAGGAACUGGCCGAUCAUACCGACGAGGUGAGUGUGCAACAUGAGGUGCUUGACGGGAUGUUUACUUUCUAUGAUUCAACUAAAGCUAGCCUCAACAUAUAUCAGGUGCCUGCUUGUUUUUACCUUCUAGAUACUAAUAUUGUUUAGACGUGUAAUCUCUCUCUCCAUUGAACGCUAGACGGCUCGUCUCAAGCCUUCUACGUACUUCAGAGUCCUUCACUAGCUUUUUAUGUAUAAAGUUUUGAUCUUUUUCCUUCAUUUGCUUGAAGCUCAUUACUGCAGAUUUUUUUUACAGGUUGGUAGUGUAACAUUCGACUUGCUGUUGCUUCUAGUCUUGGGAUCGUAUUUAAUUGUGCUUUUCAGCUUUCUUGUCAUAACAACUAGGGUAUCACUCUUUCUCCAUAUCAAGCUUGAAGUUCUAAAUUUCAGUUUUAUCUUGUAUUUGAUGUUUUAUAAUUUCAUUGCAAACAGAUUAGAAUAGAAACUUCAAAAGUUCCAACUGACUAGUCCCGUGUAACUUUUUCAGGGAAGAUUUUCUCUCAUAACAACUACGAACGUGUUAUGGUUUAGCCCAGUGACACAAAGGACAGUUUUCAACAAUUGAUCCUAGGAAGAUGCCCAUAGCUUGUUGUGCCAAAAAUAGAAAAUCUAAGAUGCGAAAAAAUUUUGUUGAGAUUCAUUUUUCAUCCUGAUGUUACCGCUGGCCUUUUUUUUUUUUUUUUUUGGCAGAGAAUAAUGCUUAUGUGAUUUCUGAACUUGGUGAUUGUUGAAAUGAGCUGAAAAUGAGCUGGAAAUGUGUUUGGUUAAUGAGAAAGAGAGCAAGAAAAUGAAAGAAAUCUAUUUCACUUUUUAUUUAUCAGCAUGAUUACAUUCACAAUGAAUCUAAGCUGCUAUUUAUACUUAAAUGACUACACACGAGAAUCUUCUUGCUAGAUACUUCUAGAAACUCUACACGCACACUCACACUGAGCUAGUGGUUACCAAAACCGUUACAACGAUAUUGCCAGCUCAGCAUAACCAACUUAUAACUAACACACUCAGCUGCAGGGGAAACCAUCAAGCUUACUGUGCGUCCUCUGUAAUCAAGCUUCUUUAAGCAUGCUCUGCAGAUCAUACGUCUGAAUUAUCGAAACAAGAUGAAUUAUUUUUUGUUUAUUGCAGCAGGCGAUCAAUGAGCGGAAUUUCUAGCUUGUAUUCAAUUCGCGAACACAGUUUGAGAAGAAUCAGACCAUUAAUUUUCUUUUGAGCCAAUCAACAGAAUGUACAUUUCUUCUAAGAACUUGUAACCGAAACCGCAGUUUUUCAGGUUUGCUCCUUCCUCAUAGCAGUUAAUCAAACGAUAAACAGAGAUAUCCCAUGUCAACAAGAAGGUAAUCAUAAAAGAACAACAGAAUUGUUGCAACAUAUUCAUAUGAAAUGUAAAACAAUUUUGAGAAAAAAUAUUGGGAAGAUAUUUUUUUUUCAUAGAAGUUGCAAUCUUUACGUUAUUUACUAGUUUGACUAGACUAUAUAAGGAAGCUAUAUGAAAUUAGAAAAAUAAGCUAUACUAGGAAAGAAUAAAUAUGUGUACAGAAAAUUAGGCUAUAAUUUUCAAAUUAGAUGCCAGUUAAUUUUAUCAUAAUUAGAUGGUAAGAUUGCAAAUUCUGCAGCCAAAGGUGGUACGGAACUGAAUGAAGGAAAUCAAAUAUGAACAUGUUUUCAAUCUUAAAAUAUUAAGAGUAGCAUAAGUAACUUGUGAAACAGUUAUAAGUUCAAGGGAAUUAGAUGAUGGCAUGGUUGAAUUUUAUAAAUAUUUGAUAUUUUGGACCGAACAGGGCAAACAGAUGGAUCCAGAUAAUCAAGAAAAACAUCAAUUCCAUGCAACCAAAUGAGUCUAGUCAAAGAAAUUAUUCAAAGAAAUCUCUAGGUCAGUAUCCAAAUAUAUGGCUCCGUCCGUUCCACCACCACAACCAAAAAAAUCAGAUCCCCCCAUUUGGAUUCGAUUGAUUAAUUUGAGCAUAUAAAAUCGGGUUUUAAACUUCCCUAAUCAAAAUUUAUAUUCCACAGAAUCAGUUCCUUUAACAUGAUGCAUUACAUAAUAUUUUGUUUGCAAAAUAAAGAAGAAAGAUGACAUAAUAGAAACACGCUAUUGCAUCUUUUGAAAAAGAAAAACGGAAUAGUUUUCCAAAAUUAAUUCCGAGAAGAAGAUUAACUAAUAAUGAUGUUAGAAAUUUUAAUAUUUGAGUCUUAAUAUUAUGUAUCACUCAUUUAUUAAAUAAUAGAUUUCAUAAUUUGUAAAAUUACUUAACCACUUGAUAAAUGUUAUAUUUGUUGGGACUAAAUUGGAACUUAAAUGUUGGAAUAUCUAGUAUUGCAUUAAAAAAUAAAUAAAAACUUAACAAUUUAUCUUCACUUGACUAAUUGUUUUUACAUCACAACUAACCUUAAUUAUUUUGAAAGUUACAGUAUUAUUAAAUUGUCCUAACUGGUUAUCCAAAGUUGAAGCAUGUUAAAAUAAAAAAAAUUACUAAGAAACAUGUGCUUAAACAGAGGUUAAAGCUAUGAACAAUUAAGAAGAAACUCUUAAUUUGGUCCCAGUUAGUAUAAUAAUCAUCUAUUGAGCGGUAAAAUAUUAAUUUUAAUAGUGAUGAAAUCCAAUAAAUAAUAGAUUACUAACACACAUAAAUUAAAACUUAACUGUCUGAAAUCAUAACAUUACUCUACUCUUCAGUGGAGUUCUCUUAAACAGAUUAUGUGAGAUUGCCUACAUUAAAAAUAUGUUAAGACUGCUUGUUGAAAGCAAUAUUCGCUUUUCCAUUAUAUCCAUAACUUUGAAUUGAUAAAGUUGUAUUCAGCAGCUCUUGAAAAGACUAAUUUAUUUUAACUAGUCAUAGAAAUAAGAGAGAAAAGGGGCUAUUUCUUGACUCAAAGUCAAUUAUAAUUAUCAAAACUUGAGGGGACAUCGCAUGCCUAAAUUCCACGCACCCUAAUACGGUUUGAUUUGCUUUCACGCGUUCAUGAAUUUCCAUGAAAGAGCCUGCCUUUCGUCUCUUUCGGGACAGUGACUACAAUAAUGGAAAAAAUUAUAAUUCUCGUUAGAUUGUAACCAAAUUAUUAUCCCUAAUUUUUUUAAGUUACAUAUAAUAAAAUUCAUGCUUAAGUAUUUAGUAAUUAGAGAGAGAUAGAGAGGAUUGAGGGCCAAUGUUUCGCGAUUUGGGGUCAAUUCAAAGUCAACUAACGUGUAAAACACGUGUAUGCAUAGAAAACGCUUAGAUUAUUUGUGUUCCAAGAAAGAAAGAAGACCCAUCACCUUCUUCGUGACAACAAAUGAAUGAAUGAUGUUGAUAUGACAAAUACAAGCGCUAUUACAGGGAACAGCAUAAGAUCGAGACUUGAUAAAGGGUUUGUUAAAUUACAUGUUAUUUUCUUUUGACUUGAAUGAUGUUGAAGAGAAAAAUCAAAUAACAUUGUAAUCAGGGUGAUGUGUGGAAUAUAGUGAAAUAAAUAAAUAGAGAAGAGAAAUUCGUUGAUCAAUAUUCAAGAACUCAUCCAAAGUGAUCGUCAAAGUCUAGAGGUUCGGUAUGAUUAGCAUUUAUUAUUAUUUUUUUUGGCUUAACAUCAUAUAUAGUCACCUGUCGUGUGAUCUAGAACAGGUUUAGAAAUCCUUUUAUUUUAACUUCCGUAUUCUUAUUAUUUAAUUAGUUAUAGGGUUCUUCAGUAUUUGAGUAUUGAUCACAUGUCUCCUAAUCUAAAAAUAUGUUUUUACGAGUACAAAUAACAAACUAGGAUUUUAACAGCCUUUUAUACUAAACCCUAAAAAUACAUGAAUUUAUCAAAAUAAGUAAAUUAAUUUAAAUUGGUAUGGCAUAAUAAAAGUUUUACCUGCCGAAACAAAUUAAAAAAAUAUUACACUUAAAUCAAAUAUUGACAAAAAUAGAUAACAAUCUAAUGAGAAUCUUAACUAGAUAUUUUUACUUCUAUCCAAUUUAACUGGAACGAGAAUUAAGUCCUUUCAAUAGUUAGGACUCAUAACUCAUACACGCUAGUUUGAGAGUGUGGGGUGUGACAAUGGGCCAAAAGACCAUUGACAAGUACAAAAGAGUGGUCGCAAUUAAUUCAAACCGCUACACACGCUAUUGCGUCUUUUAAAAAAAAAAUGGAAUAGUUUUCCAAAAUUAAUUCAGAGAAGAAGAUUUACUAAUAAUGAUGUUAGAAAUCUUAAUAUUUGAAUCUUAAUAUUAUGUAUCACUCAUUUAUUAAAUAAUAGAUUUCAUAGUUUGUAAAUUUACUUAACCACUUGAUAAGUGUUAUAUUUGUUGGGACUAAAUUGGGACUUAGAUGUUGGAAUAUCAAGUAUUGCAUAAAAAUAAAAAAUAAAAACUUAACAAUUUAUCUUCACAUGACUAAUUGUUUUUACAUCACAACUAACCUUAGUUAUUUUUUAAAGUUAUAGUAUUAUUAAAUUGCCCUAACUGGUUAUCAAAAGAUGAAAGCAUGUUAAAAUAAGAAAUUACUAAGAAACAUGUGCUUAAACAGAGGUUAAGGCUACGAACAAUUAAGAAGAAACAACUUACAAUCAAAGGUUAAGAUUAUGAACAAAUUAAGGAAGGUAUUGAGCAGAUAAAGGGACGAAAUCAUUGUCUGAAUUGCCGGUGACAAGAAUGCUUGUGUUGUGAAAAGAAACCUGAUGGUUUGUAAAUGGGUUGAAUUUUUUAUUCGGUCGCUCCAACUGACUUACUAAUGCCAAAUUUAUUACUUUGCACAGUAGUGUUUAGGAUCCUCAAGAUCAACUCUUAAUUUGGUCCCAAUUAGUGUAGAAAUCAUCUAUUGAGCAAUAGAAUAAGAAUUUUUCUAGUCAUGAAAUUCAAUAUAUAAUAUAUCCUUGACACACAUCGAUUAUAACUUAACUGUUAGAAUUCAUAACAUUACUCUACUCUCAAGGGGAGUUCUCUUAACAUAUUAUGUUAGGUUGCCUACAUUCAAAAUAUGUUAGGCUGCUCUUUGAAAACAAUAUUCCUUUUUCCGUAACUUUGAAUUGAUCCAAUAGCUCUUGAAAAGCACAUAAUAAUCAUUAUAAAUUUAAUCAAAGACUAAGCAGGUCUUCUUUCCAUUUGAUCACUCGCAUUUCAGUUAAGUUUGUCGUUUACUUAAAUUUUUCUUGCUUUCAAUUUCCACUGUUGUUUUUUUUUAUAUAAAAUAAUUUAUUUAAACUAGUCAUAGAAAUAAGAGAGAAAGGGCGCCAUUUCUUGACUCAAAGUGAAUUAUAAUUAUCAAAACUUGAGCGGACAUUGCAUGCCUAAAUUCCACGCACGCUAAAACGGUUUGAUUUGCUUUCACGCGUUCAUGAUUUUCCAUGAAAGAGAGUGCCUCUCGUCUCUUUCCGGACAGUGACUGCAAUUAUGUUAACGUGACGAAUACAAAACGUUAUUACAUACAAGAAUAAGUUUUUGGACCCGAGACUUGAGGGAGGUUCUAUCUAAUUCUAAAGAUUGUAACCAAAUCAUUAUCCCCAAAUUUUUUCAGUUAAAUAAAAUAAAAUUUAUGCUUAAGUAUAAAUAAUUUUUUAAAGUUAAAUAUAAAAUAAAAAAAUUCAUGAACUUCCUAGAAAGAAAGAAGACCCUUCACCUUCUUCGCGACAACAAAUGAUGUUGACAUGACAAAUACAAGCUCUAUUACAGGGAACAGCAUAAGACCGAGACUUGAUAAAUAUUAAAUAUAUAAAAUAAGUGGAGCAAACGAACAGAAUAAUAGAUAUUUUAUAAUAUUCUUCAUAAAAAUCCAUGUUUUGAGCCUGCCUAUAAGCUUAUCUAGUGAAGUCUGGGUAUCCGCGUUGCCCAAGGUUCCGUUUGAAUCCAGGCCGUGUAGAUGUUUAAGACAUCGCAUAUGGACGGAGUGGAAAUAUUUUCAGUUGACUGAAUUAAAUAAAAAUAUAUUACAAUCAUAUUAUAUAUUAGCAGCAAAAAUAAAAAGAAAUGAAGAAAAACGCAUGCAAGACUUAGACAAGUCAAUUAAAAGCUGGGAGUAUCAUCAGUUCAAUUGGUUAUAAAUAGCGUAGAGCCAUCCUCUCGUUGUUGCAGAACUGAAGCAAAGAGACUCAGAAAGAGUGUGUGUAGGUGAUUAUAAUUAAGAAGAUAUAAUGUGUGGUUCAAAAAGAGUGUGGGUGAGUGAGUUAAUUUUCAUAUUAUUAGUAGUAAAAGGGUGGUGGAGUGAGGGAUGUUUGGAGCAAGAGAGGUCUGCUCUCCUACAACUCAGACAUUUCUUCAAUGAUGAUCAACUUCUUCAAAACUGGGUAGACGAUGAGAAUUAUUCAGAUUGUUGUCAGUGGGAAGGGGUUGAGUGCAAUAACACCACUGGCAGAGUGAUUGAAUUAUAUCUAGGAUAUACUCGGAAAUGGGAAUCAGCAGAGUGGCAUAUGAAUGCUUCUCUGUUUACUCCCUUUCAACAAUUAGAGUCUCUUGAUUUAAGUUGGAACAAUAUAGCCGGUUGUGUUGAAAAUGAAGGUCCUUAAUUUACUUUAUUUUAAUUCUUCCUCCUCGUAAUUUCUUACAUCUAUCUGAUCCCUUUUGGCUUUUGUUUAAUUUGUACGUGAUACAAUAAAAUUACUUUUUAUUUUUUGUCAGGUCUAGAUAGGUUAUCAAGGUUGAAGUUUCUUUAUUUAGACUAUAACUGCUUCAACAACAGCAUCGUUUCAUCUCUAGGUGGUCUUUCAUCACUCAGAAACUUAUCAUUGGCUGGUAAUGAAUUGGAUGGAAGUAUUGAUAUUAAAAGUAAGUACGCUUCAACCCUUCUCCCCUGUCCCAUCUUUUGUAGAUCUUAUUUCACUGAGCAGCUGGAAGUAUUGAUACGAGAUCUAGCUAGACUCUUGUGAGUUUAGGCUUCAAGGCUUUGAAUAUUAUAAAAAUAAGUUAAAGAAAUUAUCGAUAUAUGCAAUUUUCAAUGCUUCUCAUAAUCAGACACAAUUCAAUCUAAUUAUUUCGUAUGUCCUGUCUUCAAAAGUAAAGAAUUGUACACUAAUUGGAAAUCGACAUCGUAGCUUUUUAUUUUCUAUAAUGCUCUUUUUUCGUUAACGAGUUUAUAUCCUAAGAGGGAUUGGAUUGAAAAAAAAAAAGUUUUGAUGUUCAAUGUAAGCCAUGAUAACCUGCAUCUUAUUUGUCUGCCGACAUCCAAAUUUGUGCACUGAAUUUAGUAUUUUGGUUAUUGUGAAGGGAUCAGAUAUUGGCUUCCAUAGACCAACUUGUAUUUACUUAAUUAAUUAAUUAACGACAUUUAGUAUUUAACAAAUUAAAAUUUCAUGUUUAAUCGAUUUUAAUUUUUUUAAGAAAAAAGAAAAAGAUAUAACAGCAUGUAAAGCUGAAAUAAAUUUUAAUUCCUUACAAAUUUAAAUUCAUGGUUGUCAGCUAAAUAUACCUGCUUAAAGCCACUCUUUUCGCUGAGAUUUAACCAAAAAAAAAAGGAGAAAAUAAUUUAUUUAAUUAACUCUGUUUUAAGUGUUGGAAUAAAUACAGGACUGGAAUCCUUGAGUAACUUGGAGAUGCUGGACAUGAGGGACAAUGCAAUCGACAAUCUAGUGGUUCCUAAAGGUAUACAAAAUGACACUAACCCAAAAUAAUUUAAUCCGAAAUUGUAUCCCAAAUAGAUUACAGAGGUUUGAGGAAGUUGGAUACCCUUUAUUUGGGGGGGAAGGGAAAUUGCAGUGAUAUAUGGAAGCAAGGUGUUGCAAUCAAUAAAGAAAUUCAUAGGGUCAAUAUUAAAGGACUCUCCUCCAACUCAAACAUUUCUCAAAUAGAUUAUUUAAUCUGAAAUAGUAUCUCAAAUAGAUUAUAGAGGUUUGAGGAAGUUGAAUACCUUUUAUUUGGGGGGGAAGGGAAAUUGCAGUGAUAUAUGGAAGCAAGGUGUUGCAAUCAAUAAAGAAAUUCGUUGGUCAAUAUUCAAGACUCAUCCAAAGUGAUCGUUAAAGUCUAGAGGUCUGCUCUCCUCCAACUCAAACAUUUCUUCAAUGAUGAGAAUUAUUCAGAUUAUGGUCAGUGGGAAGCGGUUGAGUGCAACAACACCACUGGCAGAGUGAUUAAAUUAGAUCUAGGAGCCACUAGGAAUCGGGAAUCAUCAGAGUGGCAUAUGAAUGCUUCUUUGUUUACUCCCUUUCAACAAUUAGAGUCUCUUCAUCUAAUUGGGAACAAUAUAGCCGAUUGUGUUAAAAAUGAAGGUCCUUAAUUUACUCUAUUUUAGUUCUUCCUCGUAAUUUCUUACAUUUAUCUGAUCCCUUUUGGCUUUUGUUUAAUUUGUACGUGAUACAAUAAAAUUAUUUUUUAUUUUUUGGCAGGUCUAGAGAGGCUAUCAAGGUUGACCAACUUGAAGUUUCUUCAUUUAGACUAUAACUGCUUCAACAACAGCAUCUUUUCAUCUCUGGUUGGUCUUUCAUCACUCAAACGCUUAUCAUUGGCUAGUAAUGAAUUGAAUGGAAGUAUUGAUAUUGAAGGUGAGUAAGCUUCAUCCCUUCUCCCGUGUCCCAUCUUUUGUGGAUCUUAUCUCAUUGACGGGUUGGAAGUAUUGAUACGAGAUCUAGCUAGACUCUUGCUAGUUUAGGCUUCAAGGCUUUGAAUAUUAUAAAAAUAGGAUUAAGAAAAUAUCAAUAAAUGCAAAUUUCAAUGCUUCUCGUAAUCAGACACAAUUAAAUCUAAUUAUUUUGUAUGUCCUGUCUUCAAAAGAAAAGAAUUGUACACUAAAUGGAAAUCGACAUUAUUGUUUGCUUUUGAUUAGUGGAUCAAAAAUCGACUAAUUUUGAUUUAACAUAAAAAUAAAAAAGAGAAAAUAAGUUAUUUAAUUAACCCUGUUUUAAGUGUUGGCAUAAAUGCAGGACUGAAUUCCUUGAGUAACUUGGAGGAGCUGGACAUGAGCGACAAUGCAAUCGACAAUCUUGUGGUUCCUAAAGGUAUACAAAAUGUUCAAAUAUUAAUAAUUUGGAGGACAGUUUAAUUGAUUUGAUUAGGGAAUGCCCAAUGACACUUACCCAAAAUAAUUUAAUCUGUAAUUGUAUCCAAAACAGAUUUCAGAGGUUUGAGGAAGUUGAAUACCCUUCGUAUAGGGGGAAGCAGAAUUCGAAUGAUAGAUGGAAGCAAGGUGUUGCAAUCAAUAGGAUCACUACCGUCCCUCAAAACACUUGACCUUUGGUAUACUAAUUUUACGGGAACAGUAGUUAAUCAAGGUAAGUAAAUCUUUUAUGUCGAAAAUAAUUGAAUUAAUAUAUAUAGCUAAAAUUUAUUGUUUCUACUUCUUUCUAAAUAGAGUUGCACAAUUUCACCAACUUGGAAGAAUUGAUAUUGCUCGGGUCUCAUCUCCACGUAAGCCAGCUUCUGCAAAGCAUCGCAUCAUUCACUUCGUUAAAGAAUUUGUCAAUGCCAGUUUGUACCCUUACAGGUGCCGUACAUGGUCAAGGUAAAUUACGGGUAUCUGAAGCUUUUAUGAUAUUAAUUCGAUAAUAAUUCUUUCUUUUCAAGUUAAUUUUCUCCCGUAAAAUAAUAUUUUUUUCUUUUAAAUUUUAUAUAUUUUCACCGUCCAAUAGAAGAGUAAAGAAAAAUAAGUAAAUUAACCCAAAAAAAAGAAAAGAACAAGACCGGAUUAUCCUUAUUCCCUUGCAUUAUGCGAUCAAUAUCAAAAUUAUAACCAUUUCUUGUUUAUUGCUUGUAGAUUUUCGUAAAUUCAAGAAUUUGGAACAUCUGGACAUGGGUGGGGUGCAAGUUGAUGUCAACACCAGUUUUCUUCAAAUUGUCGGCGAAUCAAUGCCUUCUCUUAAGUUUUUAUCACUGGCAGAUUCAAGUCUUAAUAAAAACACCAUUCUUGAUCAAGGUUAAUUAAUGAUUCUCAUUCUCCCUCUCUCGCAUCAUAACUAAAUUUAAUGGAGAAUAUCUAUAAUGCGAGCUAUUUAUAAACUUAAUGAAAGAUGAUAAGGAGCCAUAAUAAUGACAAAAAUAAUUGUAAAAUAGUGCACUGUUGUAGUGUUGAUUGAAAAAUAAUGCUAAUGUUUUACCUAACAACACUAUAACGUCGGAUAAUUUUUAAUAUGUACUUUAAACUAUCAGUACUCAAACUAUCAGUACUCAAACUUAAUUUUUAAUAUGUACUUUAAAGAUUUUAUGCAAUUAUUUAAGUUUUAUGCAAUUAUAUUUUUCAGGACUUUGUCGGUUAGUGCAUCUGCAAGAGUUAUACAUCAGCAGUAAUGAUUUGAGAGGUAGCUUGCCAUGGUGCUUGGCAAAUUUGACUUCCCUUCGAGUAUUAGAUGUCUCUUACAAUCAACUAACUGAAAACAUCUCCUCAUCUCCCCUCAUGCAUCUAACAUCUAUCGAAGAGCUCAUACUUUCAAAUAAUCACUUCUUCCAAAUCCCUAUUUCACUUGAACCACUUUUCAAUCUCUCAAAACUCAAGACUUUCGAUGGUGAAAUAUGCGCAGAAACUGAGUCACAUUAUAAUUCUUUGACCCCAAAAUUCCAACUGACUUCUAUCUCACUGUCUGGUUACAUAGAUGGUGGCACAUUUCCCAAAUUCUUGUACCAUCAGCAUGACUUGAAGAAUGCUGAUCUCUCACACCUUAACUUGAGUGGAGAAUUUCCAAAUUGGUUGCUAGAAAACAAUACAAACUUAGAGACGCUUCUUCUUGCCAACAACUCUCUUUUUGGAUCAUUUCGGAUGCCAAUUCAUUCCCACCAGAAUUUAGCAACAUUGGAUGUCUCUAAAAAUUUCUUUCAAGGCCAUAUUUCGGUGGAAAUCGGAACAUAUCUGCCAGGUUUAAUGGAUUUAAACUUAUCUAGAAAUGCUUUCAACGGUAGCAUUCCCUCUUCAUUUGCUGAUAUGAAAAUGUUGGAAAGGUUGGACAUAUCCUACAAUCAGUUGACUGGUGAAAUCCCAGAGCGCAUGGCCACAGGUUGCUUCUCAUUAGAAAUUCUUGCAUUGUCAAACAACAGUUUGCAAGGUCAUAUAUUCUCUAAAAAAUUUAGCUUGACAAAUUUGACGACGUUGCAGUUGGAUGGUAAUAAAUUCGCUGGAGAGAUCCCAGAAAGCUUAUCUAAGUGCUAUUUGUUAGAAGGAUUAUAUCUGAGUGAUAAUCAUCUCACUGGUGAGAUUCCAAGAUGGUUGGGUAAUUUGUCAGCUUUGGAAGAUAUUAUAAUGCCCAAUAACAAUCUUGGAGGGCCAAUUCCAAUCGAGUUUUGUCAGCUUGAUUCUCUGAAGAUUUUAGACCUUUCAAACAAUAGUAUUUUCGGAACCUUACCAUCUUGCCUUAGUCCAGGAUCUAUUGAACAACUUCAUUUGUCAAAAAACAAGAUAGAAGGACGAUUGGAAAGUAUAAUCCAUGACAGCCCUUAUUUGGUGACAUUAGAUCUUAGUUAUAACAGCUUACACGGAAGUAUUCCAAAUCGGAUUGACAGACUACCUAAGUUAAACUACCUUCUUUUGGCUAAUAAUUAUAUUGAAGGCGAAAUACCAGUUCAAUUAUGCCAUUUGAAGGAAGUGCGGUUGAUUGAUCUUUCUCAUAAUAAUCUAUCUGGUCAUAUUCCUCCUUGCUUGGUUAACACUUCACUCAGUGAAGGUCAUCAUGAGGCAGUAGCUCCAACUCCAAGUGGAUCUUCGAUGGGAAAGGAAGAAACUGUACAGUUCACAACAAAGAAUAUGUCCUACUAUUAUCAAGGAAGAAUUUUGACGAGUAUGUCUGGGAUUGAUCUUUCUUGUAACAAACUGACAGGUGAGAUUCCUACUCAAAUUGGAUAUCUUACUAGGAUUCAUGCACUAAAUCUAUCUCAUAACAAUUUGACGGGCACAAUCCCGACAACAUUUUCAAACCUGAAGCAAAUCGAAAGCUUGGACCUCUCCUACAACCUACUGCAUGGGAAAAUCCCUUCUCAGCUCACCGUGCUAACUACAUUGGCGGUCUUCACAGUAGCAUACAAUAACUUAUCAGGCAAAAUCCCAGAUAGAGUCGCACAAUUUUCAACUUUUGAGGAAGAUAGCUAUGAGGGGAAUCCUUUUCUUUGUGGAUGGCCACUGUCUAAAAGUUGCAAUGAUAGUGGAUUAUCAGCAGUGACACCAGAAGCUUACACUGAUAAUGAAGAAGGUGAUAGUUUAAUUGACAUGGACAGUUUCCUGAUCACUUUUACAGUAUCUUAUGGAAUUGUGAUAUUAGGAAUUAUUGGAGUUUUGUACGUAAACCCCUAUUGGCGGCGAAGAUGGUUUUACCUUGUUGAAGUGUGUAUGACCUCUUGCUACUAUUUUGUGGCAGACAAUCUUGUUCCUAGAAGAUUCUAUGGUGGAUGGAUGUAAUUUCAUUUACUUUACAACUUAUAUGUUAUUUUUAAAGAAUUUUCUUUUGCAUGCAUGGAAUAGCAACUCAAUAAAAGUAUUUGAUGCAAAUUGUCCAAGAACAACUUAGUAAUUUCAUUGCUACUAUUCGGUUGUAUAUAUACAGUUAAUGAAAUUUUUAAUCAUUCGC